This is a long non-coding RNA of Astyanax mexicanus (Mexican tetra), 1019 nucleotides long. RefSeq lists it as uncharacterized. The record is from RefSeq and is a predicted model, not a curated record. The transcript has 6 exons. Lineage: Eukaryota; Metazoa; Chordata; Actinopteri; Characiformes; Acestrorhamphidae.
ACCGGCUUCACUCCGGGUUCGGGUUAUGAUUGUGACUCACGUUCAGAUCCGUUUUACUGACGGUAAAUCCGCAUAACAGUCCGUCUCAUUUCACGCCUUCCAUAUGACUUCGGCACGGAGUCAGAUACCAGAUGUGAGUUCAGUGUCAGUUCAGUGUCGUUUUGCGGAUCCGGGCCGCAUCGGCGGAGCGGCACAGGAGCGGGAGAAAUUCAAACUCAGCGCGAGGACCAACUGACAUCUGCUGAAUCUGCGCUUCAGGGCUGCUGAGGGCUGGGGACCUGAGAUAAGGUGUAAUCAUUUACCCAUCAAAUCACCUAACAAGGAUCAGCCUGGAUCCUAACAGUACUUGAUGCACUGAGCAGUGACAUUAUACAUAGAGUAGUUAAGCAGGAUUUGGUAUCCGCAAAAUGGUUCGAGGUCCUCAUCCCUCGCCUCCCCCAGCACAGAGGAAAACUACCAAGGGCGGUACUCUCAUUAUAGGAGAUUCAAUUGUUAGACAUUUAAAAGUAUCUAAGAGUAAUGGCACAAUUUCAUGUCUUCCAGAUGCUUGCAUGCUGGUAGUCGGCAAGCGGCUCCCUGGGGCGCAUUGCCAAAGCAGGAACCCCGGCACCAUCGCCCUCCACGUGGGGAUGAGCUUUCGGGAGCGACCGGCCCCGUUCCACAGAGACAGGCUUCUCUCUGUGAACAUCGAGGCGGUGCUACGCUGAGACUGACUGUCUCUACCCAGUCACACCAGCCAAGUAGGCUGCACUGUAGUGGUGUUAAGUGUCCAAGAAUGCUCUCAUCAGUGGAGGCACAGCUGGCUGCAAAAAACGUCUGUGUCUGCAUGUUUAUAUUAUGUGAAUUAAAAAUGGUUUUAUUAUUAAAAUAAUUGUAUUAAUGCCUGUUGAUUUAUAAAUUGUUUAAUUGAAAUCAAAUUUUAUUUAAGUAGCUUAAUUAAGUAUUGCAUUUAUAACUGAUGGUAUUUUAUUUAAUUAGCUUAAGUAUUGCAUUUAUAAGUGAUGGUAUUUUAUUGAAUU